CUCCCUCCCUUAUCUGAUUUGGGUGACACACACAUGGAUCCAAUCCAUGUGGGUGUGCCCCUCUUCUUGGUCAAAGAACAUUGGGUGGCGCUAACAUUUGACACUCCCAUAAACCUAAUCUAAUUAGGUCAAAUUCGAACCUGGGUGAACCAACAUGUGGAGCCCAAUUUGAGCUUACAUCAAAUUUGAUUAAAUCAUAUCUAAUAGGACUC
This 212-nucleotide long non-coding RNA is filed under the name Elaeis guineensis (African oil palm). RNAcentral's name for it is "long non-coding RNA (EGUI_LNC040073)". The record is from RNAcentral. Lineage: Eukaryota; Viridiplantae; Streptophyta; Magnoliopsida; Arecales; Arecaceae.